RNA transcript from Leguminivora glycinivorella, 1971 nucleotides. RefSeq lists it as uncharacterized. The record is from RefSeq and is a predicted model, not a curated record. NCBI's taxonomy places the organism in Eukaryota, Metazoa, Arthropoda, Insecta, Lepidoptera, Tortricidae. The transcript has 2 exons.
CCAUUCAAAAUAAAACCUAUUAGUUUAAGGGUUUAGACAUGACGUUCCUUUCGUAGUUACCGAAGCAGUUGCGGCUAACAACGUACAACCAUAUGUUGUUGACCAUGUUAAAUGGGUCUAAUUUUAUAAUAUGUAGAACGAAAUUUCAAGAAGCACAAAAGCAUCAUCACACGUUUGAUCCGGCACAAGUCUUAAGCAUAAAAAAAAACGUAGUCAUUAAUUCGAGUGCAGAUUUAUCUAGCGAGCAUAAAGCUAAUAGUAAACAAUAUUUUCUCAAAGUACCCUCAGUGUAAAUCGCAAGAUUUGACUAGUCUAAGUAAAACAUCUUGUGUGUAAUUAUCAAUAAAACUGACGUCAAAUAAGCCGAUCUAAAAGAAAAGUUUACUGAUUAAUACAAUGCAGUGCUUGAAAUUUUGACCCUAAAUUGCAGAUUAAUUUCUAUACAGACGCUAUUCAGUACCUAUUUUGAUGAUUUUGACUGAAAAUGGGGAACGGCUAGUUCAUUUUUAUAGCCUACAAACGACAAAAGAUGAAAAGACAUUUCACUCCGUUAAAUUAUUAGAAUUAUUUAGCAAUCGUAACCGGACUAUAACGAUUCUGUCAUUAUUUAACGGUUAUUCAAUUUAAAAUCACUACAGACUGUUUGCGUUAAAUAAAUUUAAAUAUGUAUACGUUAAUUAAACAAAAAUAGUGCCACGUAUAAGUAAAUCGGUUUGUUCGACGUAACGCCAUAGGGUGAGCUGUCAAUGGAUAGUAACGAAACUUAUUCCGUACCUAAUGUGUAACUGAAGAUGACUGGUUAUUGUCAGUUACUGUACAAGACUCUCUAUUUGUAUUGUUGUCAGGGGAGGCCGAGUCUAAUAAACGGACAUUUAAUGAAUAUAAAGUGUUAGGUAAUAAAGGUUUUUCCAUCGUCCGCUUUUAAUACUCAAAACAUAACAGUAAACAUAUAUUUAUUUCAUUGACCGUAUAAAAUAGGUACAAAGUAAACUAAAGUAAUAAGAAAUAAAGUAAAUUACUCUCCACAUGGAUGACCUCCAUGGCUCUUUCGUAAAAACAACACAACAAAACAUUAUUUGCUAGACUUCGUGGAUUCUUUCAUUUUGUAUUCAUCUCUGCAGUUAAAAACAUUAAAAUUACAUUUGUAAUUUGCGAGCUAACGAAGAUUUAUAAGACUUUUGGUAACCCAGAACGACUGAUUGUGACGCGGGUAGCGCAUUUACUUCAAAGUUAUUUAGAGUAUUGCAACGCUAGGCAUAUAAGACGUCAUAUUAUCGCGACAGCCGUACCUCGCUCGAACGGCCGAGACAGAGUAUAUUAAUGGGAUAUGCAUAUACCUAGUAUCCAGCAAAGCAGGUGAUAGCACUGUCAACAAAACAGCCGCAGUACCCAAUGAGGUGUUUUUCGGAUACAGGAUUCGAGUGAUGCAAUUGUUGACGAUAAUUUAUAAAAUCCUAUCGAUGUCACAGCAUUAAGGAAUGAUGGAAAAGGUAUGAUGGAACGGCUUGCGUAGAAAAUAUGUAGCCAAGGAUUCAUAUAGAGGAGUAACCGGAUGUUGUCGAUGAAAGCUUCCGCAUCAGGUCCUAACGAGUUCCAGGAGUAACUCGUGACGCAGGACGGCCGGAUGUUGUCGCCCUGGCAAUCCUGGCAUUGAUGGCGCCACCACGACGACGAUACUGGCAACACUUCGCGUGACGUACAUCCGCAACUGUCAAACCCGACGUUAUAAAAGGGCAAGCACGAGGCAGUAACGGGCACUUGCCGUCUAGCAGCCACGAACUACGGAGCUACAAACCUGUUCAGUGUACUAUAUUGGUGAUUUAAGUAUAACGUAUCUAAUCUGUUGUCAUAUCAUUCACGGGUGUAUUAAGUAUAAUGUGGUCCGUACAUUAUACUUAAUACAAUCAGUCUAUAUCUUGUAUUGAUGUUUUGGAUUAAUAAAUAAAUGUAUAAAUGUUGUCUUGGUGUUUA